Pelobates cultripes (western spadefoot toad) is the source of this 551-nucleotide non-coding RNA. NCBI's taxonomy places the organism in Eukaryota, Metazoa, Chordata, Amphibia, Anura, Pelobatidae. The record is from the annotation of a GenBank genome assembly.
GACCCAUAGGUUGAGAAGGCGGUGAACAUGGCGGUGGAGGAGGAGGAUGAGGUAGCCAACACUGUUUUUAUAUAUAAAUAUAUGAAUAUAUUUUAAUUGGGGUAGCCCCCGAAAUAUUUGGACAUAUAAAAAAGACAACUCUGUUCUGCAGAGUAGCUGUUGACAUUAUAGUUGUGCAGGCACUUUGUUGACUCUAGAGAACCUUGGGCCAAUCACACAUCCCCAUGGUGGCGAAUUUGCAUGCGGAUGUCAUCCAUAUCAACCUUCGAUGACAGAUUCUGUGCCUACCAUGGUGACCAUGGGUAACGGGGAAUCAGGGUUCCAUUCCGUACAGGGACCCUGAGAAAUGGCUACCACAUGCAAGGAAGGCAGCAAGUGCGCAAAUGACCCACUCCCGACGCGAGAAGGUAGUGACGACAAAUAACAAUACAGGACUCUUUAGAGGCCCUUCAAUUGUAAUGAGUUCACUUGAAAUCCUUUAACUCUGAUCAAUUGGAGGGAAGUCUGGUGCAGAGCCACUGACCCGUGCGUGCUGCAGCUGAAUCUCCACU